RNAcentral lists this unclassified non-coding RNA (347 nucleotides) under fungal sp. RNAcentral's name for it is "partial internal transcribed spacer region". The stretch from base 1 to 46 matches the Rfam family "Eukaryotic small subunit ribosomal RNA", at positions 1786 to 1831 of the family's 1831-position model. The record is from RNAcentral. Lineage: Eukaryota; Fungi.
AAGUCGUAACAAGGUUUCCGUAGGUGAACCUGCGGAAGGAUCAUUAGCAAAAGAAGGGGGGGUUGGGUGAAGGGGGGGGAUUGGUGGUGGUGGUGGUGUGUGGGAAAAGUUGGUAAUAAUGUUACAAGUUGUAAUGAUAUUGCAAGUUGUAAUAAUAUUAUAUACUGCUCACGCAUCAUAUGACCACCUAACCUCCUACCUACCUAACCUAACCUAACACAUUGACUCGGGCCGGCUUAUACACAAAAGACGGCCCUGAGACAUUCACGCUUGUUAGUGUAUGACUGAAUUAUAAAAUGAUGAAUUCAUAAUUAAAACAACUUUUAACAAUGGAUCUCUUGGCUCUU